CUGCUUUUUGACGUAACAGCACGCGGGGAACACUUUCCCGGCUGAAAGAAGCGGCUUGGAGGAGACAGCUGACCCACUUUGGGCGGCCGAGGGAGGCGGAUCACUUGAGGUCAGGAGUUCGAGACCAGCCUCGCCACCAUAGUGAAACCCCGUGUCUACUAAAAAUACAAAAAUUACCUGGGUGUGAAGCGCGGCCUGUGGUCCCAGCUACCCGGAAGACUGAGGUAGGAGAAUCGCUUGAACCCUGGAGGCAGAGGUUGCAGUGAGCCGAGAUCGCGCCACUGCACUCCAGGCUGGGCAACAAAGUGAGUUGUUAAGCUCACGAAAAACAACGCAAAAACUGUUUCUAAUUCUCUUCUCAACCUGUUCUUGGCUUGGGCCCUGUAUUUAAAAACAUUUGCUGAAAAAGUACUAAAAUAAAGUUUUUUUUCACAACUCUU
Callithrix jacchus (white-tufted-ear marmoset) is the source of this 440-nucleotide non-coding RNA. Lineage: Eukaryota; Metazoa; Chordata; Mammalia; Primates; Cebidae. The record is from RefSeq and is a predicted model, not a curated record.